This 986-nucleotide long non-coding RNA is filed under the name Homo sapiens (human). Its description in RNAcentral is "HSALNT0019501". Lineage: Eukaryota; Metazoa; Chordata; Mammalia; Primates; Hominidae. The record is from RNAcentral.
GUCUUUCCCAUGCUGUUCUCAUGAUAGUGAACAAGUCUCAUUAGAUCUGGUGAUUUUAUGAAGGAGAAUUUCCUGCAGAAGCUCUCUUCUCUUGUCUGCAGCCAUGUUACUGUAUUAGUUUUCUAAGGUUGCCAUAAUAAAGUACCACAGACUGGGUGGCUUAAACAACAGAAAUUCAUAUUUUCACAGUUGUGGAAGCUAGAAGUCCAAGAUCAAGGUGUUGAUAGAGUUGAUUUCUUCUGAGACCUCCCUCCUUGGCUUGUAGAUGUUCAGUCUUCUUCAUUGUCACACUUUUGUGUCUAUUUUAUCAUUUGCUACUCAACUCAAAAGUUACCUGGCCAUGGUGAGUACUAUCACUGAAAUUCCAAGUAAGCUUAACAGUGAAACAAGAAGUAAAAAUGAAUUGUGUAAUUACAGCAAGCAAUAAAUUUCUUUUAGGUCUUCAGGAUAAUCUUUAAGCAAUUUUUCCUAAAACAAUAUAAAAGACAGUAGAAUCCAUGUUCAUAGGCAUCUCUGAUUUGGCAGAAUCUUUCUUCACCUGGGCUCAUGCAACACUGAAUUUCGGGUGUGUCUCUGUUAGCCACAUAGCCUCAUAUAUAUUUUUUUGUGCAGUUGAAUUUAUUUACAUACAUUUUUGAUACUUUGAUAGUAAAAUAGAAGCAGAAAUGUAUUCAGUUGAAUUUAAGUCAUCAUUCUCUCUAAUCCUCAAACCUUCAUUAGCCUUUGAGAUCUAGCAAGCUCAUCCUAUCUUAUGUGGGACGAGGAUCUGUCAGAGAGAGCAGGGCCUGGCUGUCCCUGACCCCACUAGUGUACAUUCCUCAACCACCAACUUUCUCGAUCACUCACAUCUAUUUCAUUUUCUUGAUAACACUUGUCAGUCACUAUCUGAACAUAUAUGAUUUGCUUACUCAUUACCUUGUGUCCGGCCUCUGAACCCAAGCUAAGCCAUCAUAUCCCCUGUGACCUGCACGUACACAUCCAGAUGG